RNAcentral lists this ribosomal RNA (497 nucleotides) under uncultured bacterium. Its description in RNAcentral is "partial 16S ribosomal RNA". It matches the Rfam family "Bacterial small subunit ribosomal RNA", at positions 28 to 507 of the family's 1533-position model. The record is from RNAcentral.
GAUGAACGCUGGCGGCGUGCCUAAUACAUGCAAGUCGAGCGGACGGACGAGAAGCUUGCUUCUCUGAUGUUAGCGGCGGACGGGUGAGUAACACGUGGAUACCCUCCCUAUCAGACUGGGAUAACUUCGGGAAACCGGAGCUAAUACCGGAUAAUAUUUUGAACCGCAUGGUUCAAAAGUGAAAGACGGUCUUGCUGUCACUUAUCGAUGCAUCCGCGCUGCAUUAGAUAGUUGGUAAGGUAACGGCUUACCAAGGCAACGAUGCAUAGCCGACCUGAGAGGGUGAUCGGCCACACUGGAACUGAGACACGGUCCAGAGUCCUACGGGAGGCAGCAGUAGGGAAUCUUCCGCAAUGGGCGAAAGCCUGACGGAGCAACGCCGCGUGAGUGAUGAAGGUCUUCGGAUCGUAAAACUCUGUUAUUAGGGAAGAACAUAUGUGUAAGUAACUGUGCACAUCGUGACGGUACUGAAUCAGAAAGCCACGGCUAACUACGUG